RNAcentral lists this ribosomal RNA (464 nucleotides) under uncultured bacterium. Its description in RNAcentral is "partial 16S ribosomal RNA". It matches the Rfam family "Bacterial small subunit ribosomal RNA", at positions 28 to 507 of the family's 1533-position model. The record is from RNAcentral.
GACGAACGCUGGCGGCGUGCUUAACACAUGCAAGUCGAACGGAAAGGCCCUGCUUGCAGGGUACUCGAGUGGCGAACGGGUGAGUAACACGUGGGUGAUCUGCCCUGCACUUCGGGAUAAGCCUGGGAAACUGGGUCUAAUACCGGAUAGGAGCCAUUUUUAGUGUGAUGGUUGGUAAGUUUUUUCGGUGUAGGAUGAGCUCGCGGCCUAUCAGCUUGUUGGUGGGGUAAUGGCCUACCAAGGCGGCGACGGGUAGCCGGCCUGAGAGGGUGGACGGCCACAUUGGGACUGAGAUACGGCCCAGACUCCUACGGGAGGCAGCAGUGGGGAAUAUUGCACAAUGGGCGCAAGCCUGAUGCAGCGACGCCGCGUGGGGGAUGACGGCCUUCGGGUUGUAAACUCCUUUCGCUAGGGACGAAGCUUUUGUGACGGUACCUAGAUAAGAAGCACCGGCUAACUACGUG